Molecule: ribosomal RNA, 631 nt
Filed under: Dendrophysa russelii (goatee croaker)
Lineage: Eukaryota; Metazoa; Chordata; Actinopteri; Sciaenidae
Description: partial 16S ribosomal RNA
Rfam family: Bacterial large subunit ribosomal RNA
Source: RNAcentral
GCCUCGCCUGUUUACCAAAAACAUCGCCUCUUGCCAGUAACGAAUAAGAGGUCCAGCCUGCCCAAUGACCAUGUGUUAAACGGCCGCGGUAUUUUAACCGUGCAAAGGUAGCGUAAUCACUCGUCUUUUAAAUAAAGACCCGUAUGAACGGUAAAACGAGGGCUUAACUGUCUCCUUUUUUAUGUCAAUGAAAUUGAUCUCCCCGUGCAAAAGCGGGGAUUCUCACAUAAGACGAGAAGACCCUGUGAAGCUUCAGACACUAGGACAAGCUAUGCUAUAUACCCCUAUUAAAGAACUAAGCCACUGAACUCUGUCCCAAUGUCUUCGGUUGGGGCGACCACGGAGGACCACAUAACCCCCGCGUGGAAUAGGAGCACUUAAACAACCACCCUGCUCCCACAACUAAGAGCCUCCGCUCUAACGAACAGAACUUCUGACCAAAUAAGACCCGGCAACGCCGAUCAACGAACCAAGUUACUCCAGGGAUAACAGCGCCAUCCUCUUCCAGAGCCCCCAUCGACAAGAGGGUUUACGACCUCGAUGUUGGAUCAGGACAUCCUAAUGGUGCAGCCGCUAUUAAGGGUUCGUUUGUUCAACGAUUAAAGUCCUACGUGAUCUGAGUCCAGACCGG